GUACAGAGGGAAGGAAAACAAAAUGGAUUGGGCUUGCUUGUCACCCUCACAUACUAUCUUGUUUUGGUUCAUUGCUUCAUGUUCUGAUGUUGGGGAUGAGAGAUUUUGGUUUAUGAUUUAUGAUAUGAUAGCAUCUCUCUUUGACUCCCCCUCCCCUUUCCUUCUUUGUAAGACACACAGGCAACCUGGGCUUGCAUCCUGUUGUGAAUCCAUUCAUUUUUUUCUUUUCCGUUUUCCAAUCAUCUUUAUUCAGGCCUGUUCAGCAAUCCAUACUCUUAUUGACUGUAUAAUAUUUUUGAUAUGGUGCAAAUUUAAAUUUUGGAUUUUUUUAAAUUUCUUUGUAC
This 344-nucleotide long non-coding RNA is filed under the name Coffea canephora. RNAcentral's name for it is "partial ncRNA". Lineage: Eukaryota; Viridiplantae; Streptophyta; Magnoliopsida; Gentianales; Rubiaceae. The record is from RNAcentral.